Molecule: long non-coding RNA, 1557 nt
Organism: Atta colombica
Lineage: Eukaryota; Metazoa; Arthropoda; Insecta; Hymenoptera; Formicidae
Exons: 5
Source: RefSeq, a predicted model, not a curated record
GCUGCGACGCUCGCUUCCUGGGUGAGCGAUAUUUCGAGACACAGGUCAGCGAUGAAAAGGGAAAAAUGCCGAUGCGGACGUAACACAAUUCUCCUUCCUCUCUUAUGGCGUGCGGCUUAUUGCUGGGUGGCAGCAGACUUCUGAAAGCAAGGGAGGGCAAUCAUUUCGAUUGAAACUCUAGCAGACUGGUAACCUCCUCACAAUUUAUAACUAAUACCGCGGACCUCAGUGACUCUCAACCUAUGGGUUGCUGGCCAACACACCAAGAAGAAAAUAUUUUGAAGUGUUGCGGAUCAUGACAGCUUUCCUAACCUGUAUAGUCGUCAGCUUUAACUUAAAAUAUCUCAAUUCGCGGAGCAGAGUGACACUUUUCUUGUAGAUUCUUCAUUUUCAUAAGAAAACGCAUCGAUAUAUUUUUAUCAAAAUUUGAGUGAAUCGAAAUAUCUUCUUUACCAUAUAUUUUUUUUAAUUAUAAAAAAAAAAGAGAUGAUCAGAGUUGCAAUACAGGAAGUUGGAAAGGAGUAAGAAAGAUAUAGAUGCUAAGACGAAUUAUGAGGGCAAGAAGAAGCAAGAUAGAGACGAAAGGACUUGAGAGAAGACUAGAAAGAAAGGGAAUGAGAUAUCGGUGAGAAAGGAAAGAUGCUAAAUAAGAAAAGGGCCUGAAAGAAAAUACGGCAUAAUAAAAGACUUUACUAUUUCUCCGUCCAAUUUCUUUUUUCUUGGAAGAAACUUGGAAGAAACUGUUUUUGCAAGAUCUUUAUCUGAGAUGUAACAACGAAAAAGAGAUAAAAGAAACGAGAUAAAAUAUUAGAAAUAAAAGAGAUGCGAGACGAGUGAACGAGAUAAAGACGAAAAAUAAGAGAUGAAAAAAGAAAGAAAUUAGACAAAGGCGAAAGAUGGGGGCGAAAGAGGGAGGACUGAUAAGAGACUAAAGAGAAACGAAACUAGAUAUUGAUGAGAGAGGAGAGAUGAGAGAUGAAAAAUGAGAAAAAAGCGAGAAAGAAAAAACGAGAUACAGCAAUGACGAAAUAAGGAUGAGUAGCGAGAAAUUGGUAGGAAGAAAGAGAUUUAAGGCGAGUGAUGAGACGUGAUAGAUGCAAGAGAUGAGAGAAGAAAAAAGCUGGAUAGAGCUGAAAGAUGAAAGAGGAGAUUCGAAAGAUGGGAAAUGAGAGAGAAACGAGAUAAACGUAAUUCAAAAUACACAUGGAGGAGAAACUUUAACUUCAAAAUUUAAUCUUGAAAUUAAAUAUAAUGACGUAAAAGGGUUUACACAGGCGAGUUAAGAAAUUGUGAGUAAGAAAUUGAAAGUAAGAAAGAGACGUCAGACGAGAGAUGAGAGAGGAAAGAAUUGAGAUAGAUGCGAAAGACAAGAGACUAGAAAGUGAUAUUGGUGAGAAAGCAGUGACGAGAGAUGGAAAACAAGAAAGAGACGAGACAGAGACAAAACGAGUUACAGUUAAAACAAAUUUGCGAUUAUUUUCACGCUUUGUCGUGAAAAUUAGGCGAAAACGAUAAAAAUAAGAGAAGAAAAGGAGAUAUUGAAAGAAGAAUAUAAAG